This is a long non-coding RNA of Metopolophium dirhodum (rose-grain aphid), 414 nucleotides long. RefSeq lists it as uncharacterized. The transcript is spliced from 3 exons. The record is from RefSeq and is a predicted model, not a curated record. Lineage: Eukaryota; Metazoa; Arthropoda; Insecta; Hemiptera; Aphididae.
CUUGUUACAAUCACGCCACCACGCCGCUCCACGUUAAGCGAAAAUCGCCAAAGUGUAUAAAAUAACGUGCCGGUGCUUCGUUCGGGCAUAACGCAAUUUUUGUGCAAAUCCAAACUUCAUUUUCACGUCUUCAUUCCUCGAAAAACCAACCUGCAAAAACCAAAAAUGGGCGCCGAAAAAGUAAACAUGAACAUCGUCGUCGUCGGACAAGUCCAAUCUGCCAAGGUCGUCAAAUCGGUCGCCAAAGCCACCCCAGCCACCAGCCAAUUGAUGAAAUGUUAAUACAUGAUGUUCACAUCAAUCUCAAACCGAAAAAUGCCAUAGCCCAAACAGUACAAUAAUAUUAUAAUUUGUUCCUAAUUAUAAAAAUGUGUAUUGACAUUUAAAAAUAAAUCAGUAUCUUCCGUCAAUCUA